GCGCAUGCGGCGUUGACAGUCAUACAUGUUAUCCGUUUCACGUAUCAUUGUGUCCCCAAUUUUCAAUUGUUUUUUUUUUUUUUUUAAUAAUUUUAAAAAUAGUUUCAUUUAAAUUAUUUUUGCUAGUGUUAAAGUUUUUGGUAACAGCAAAAAGUUUUUUAUGAAAAUGCGUCUGUUGUGGAUUUUGAUGCUUGCGGUAACAGUUGCGUUCGCGCAGGAUUGUAAAGUGCGCGGGAAAAGGUGCCUCGACCAUGAACAAUGUUGUGGUGGAUGCUGCGUCGAAGGCGAAUGUAUGGAUACAUAUCGAGCGUGCUAUUCUCCAUUCGACGUAUGCCACGAGUACUCCUGCAUCGGUGAAGAGACUUGUGUGGUGUUCGUGCCACCACAGUGCCCGGGAUGUGAACCCUUACCUAUUUGCAAGAUAUUAUAGUUUAGCCUAGGUGCAGCCCACACGAGUUGUGACGGUCAGUUACAUCGCAAUGUUAUCAUUUCAACGCAUUAAAUGCUUCCUUGUUAUUUACUAUGAUUGUGAACUAAGGUCACCGCUCAGACGUUGCAACGGACUUACAACGCAUUGUAUAUGUUGUUAGAUAGGUAAUCGCACGUAUUUGACGAGUUCCUAUUUCAAAAAAACUUUUAACUUUCGAAGCGUCUUGUCGAGGCAACCCACAACCCGAGGGCUGGCAGCUACUUUUGUCAAAAGGUUGGUUUAGCUGGGGAUGCAAAGGGGAAAUGCUACCAGUCUUUUGGGCACUUUGCCUCGGUGUGAUGCUUUGGAGAUUUUCUUUAUGUAGAUAACUGUAUGUUGUUUUAUGAAACACAAAACAACAUAUACAUAUACAAUAAUACAUCUACAAUAUUUUUUUAAAAUAAAUUAAAAUCAAUAAAAUUAUUUCAAUCAA
Pectinophora gossypiella (pink bollworm) is the source of this 902-nucleotide long non-coding RNA. RefSeq lists it as uncharacterized. Lineage: Eukaryota; Metazoa; Arthropoda; Insecta; Lepidoptera; Gelechiidae. The record is from RefSeq and is a predicted model, not a curated record. The transcript is spliced from 3 exons.